Molecule: ribosomal RNA, 252 nt
Filed under: uncultured Bacteroidales bacterium
Lineage: Bacteria; Pseudomonadati; Bacteroidota; Bacteroidia; Bacteroidales
Description: partial 16S ribosomal RNA
Rfam family: Bacterial small subunit ribosomal RNA
Source: RNAcentral
UACGGAGGAUGCGAGCGUUAUCCGGAUUUAUUGGGUUUAAAGGGUGCGCAGGCGGAAUGUCAAGUCAGCGGUCAAAUUGCGGGGCUCAACCCCGUACUGCCGUUGAAACUGGCGUUCUUGAGUGAGCGAGAAGUAUGCGGAAUGCGUGGUGUAGCGGUGAAAUGCAUAGAUAUCACGCAGAACCCCGAUUGCGAAGGCAGCAUACCGGCGCUCAACUGACGCUGAGGCACGAAAGCGUGGGGAGCAAACAGG